This 253-nucleotide ribosomal RNA is filed under the name uncultured bacterium. Its description in RNAcentral is "partial 16S ribosomal RNA". It matches the Rfam family "Bacterial small subunit ribosomal RNA", at positions 524 to 776 of the family's 1533-position model. The record is from RNAcentral.
UACGUAGGGGGCAAGCGUUGUCCGGAAUCAUUGGGCGUAAAGAGCGCGUAGGCGGCCCUGUAAGUCCGCUGUGAAAGUCAAGGGCUCAACCCUUGGAUGCCGGUGGAUACUGCAGGGCUAGAGUCCGGAAGAGGCGAGUGGAAUUCCUGGUGUAGCGGUGAAAUGCGCAGAUAUCAGGAGGAACACCGAUGGCGAAGGCAGCUCGCUGGGACGGUACUGACGCUGAGGCGCGAAAGCCAGGGGAGCGAACGGG